Molecule: ribosomal RNA, 939 nt
Filed under: uncultured bacterium
Lineage: Bacteria
Description: bacterial SSU rRNA
Rfam family: Bacterial small subunit ribosomal RNA
Source: RNAcentral
AAUACGAAGGGACCUAGCGUAGUUCGGAAUUACUGGGCUUAAAGAGUUCGUAGGUGGUUGAAAAAGUUGGUGGUGAAAUCCCAGAGCUUAACUCUGGAACUGCCAUCAAAACUUUUCAGCUAGAGUAUGAUAGAGGAAAGUAGAAUUUCUAGUGUAGAGGUGAAAUUCGUAGAUAUUAGAAAGAAUACCAAUUGCGAAGGCAGCUUUCUGGAUCAUUACUGACACUGAGGAACGAAAGCAUGGGUAGCGAAGAGGAUUAGAUACCCUCGUAGUCCAUGCCGUAAACGAUGUGUGUUAGACGUUGGAAAUUUAUUUUCAGUGUCGCAGCGAAAGCGAUAAACACACCGCCUGGGGAGUACGACCGCAAGGUUAAAACUCAAGUGAAUUGACGGGGACCCGCACAAGUAGUGGAGCAUGUGGUUUAAUUCGAAGAUACGCGCAGAACCUUACCAACACUUGACAUGUUCGUCGCGACUUUAAGAGAUUAAAGUUUUCGGUUCGGCCGGACGAAACACAGGUGCUGCAUGGCUGUCGUCAGCUCGUGUCGUGAGAUGUUGGGUUAAGUCCCGCAACGAGCGCAACCCUCACUUUUAGUUGCCAUCAUUUAGUUGGGCACUCUGAAAGAACUGCCAGUGAUAAGCUGGAGGAAGGUGGGGAUGACGUCAAGUCCUCAUGGCCCUUACGUGUUGGGCUACACACGUGCUACAAUGGUAUCUACAACAGGAAGCAAAACUGCGAAGUUAAGCAAAUCCUUAAAAGAUACCUCAGUUCGGAUUGCACUCUGCAACUCGAGUGCAUGAAGCUGGAAUUACUAGUAAUCGUGGAUCAGCGUGCCACGGUGAAUGCGUUCCCGGGUCUUGUACACACCGCCCGUCACACCAUGGGAGUUGGUUCUACCUUAAGGCAAGGUUUAAAACCCUUGACCACGGUAUAGUCAGC